CAGUCGCCACGGUAAUACGUAGGUAGCAAGCGUUGUCCGGAAUUAUUGGGCGUAAAGGGCUCGCAGGCGGUUUCUUAAGUCUGAUGUGAAAGCCCCCGGCUCAACCGGGGAGGGUCAUUGGAAACUGGGAAACUUGAGUGCAGAAGAGGAGAGUGGAAUUCCACGUGUAGCGGUGAAAUGCGUAGAGAUGUGGAGGAACACCAGUGGCGAAGGCGACUCUCUGGUCUGUAACUGACGCUGAGGAGCGAAAGCGUGGGGAGCGAACAGGAUUAGAUACCCGCGUAGUCCCUGUCUCUUAUAC
Molecule: ribosomal RNA, 301 nt
Filed under: uncultured bacterium
Lineage: Bacteria
Description: partial 16S ribosomal RNA
Rfam family: Bacterial small subunit ribosomal RNA
Source: RNAcentral